This 887-nucleotide ribosomal RNA is filed under the name uncultured marine group I thaumarchaeote. RNAcentral's name for it is "bacterial SSU rRNA". It matches the Rfam family "Archaeal small subunit ribosomal RNA", at positions 30 to 923 of the family's 1478-position model. Lineage: Archaea; Thermoproteati; Nitrososphaerota. The record is from RNAcentral.
CUAUCGGAUUGAUACUAAGCCAUGCGAGUCUUUGUAGUAAUACAAGGCAGACGGCUCAGUAACGCGUAGUCAACCUACCCUAUGGACGGGAAUAAUCUCGGGAAACUGAGCAUAAUACCCGGCGUACCACCAUUCCUGGAAUGGUUGGUGGUUAAAAUGAUUCGUCGCCGUAGGAUGGGACUGCGACCUAUCAGCUUGUUGGCGAGGUAAUGGCUCACCAAGGCGAUUACAGGUACGGGCUCUGAGAGGAGAAGCCUGGAGAUGGGUACUGAGACACGGACCCAGGCCCUAUGGGGCGCAGCAGGCGAGAAAACUUUGCAAUGUGCGAAAGCACGACAAGGUUAAUCCGAGUGAUUUCUGCUAAAGGAAUCUUUUGCUAGUUCUAAAAAUACUAGUGAAUAAGGGGUGGGCAAGUUCUGGUGUCAGCCGCCGCGGUAAAACCAGCACCUCAAGUGGUCAGGAGGAUUAUUGGGCCUAAAGCAUCCGUAGCCGGCUCUGUAAGUUUUCGGUUAAAUCCACGUGCUCAACGCAUGGGCUGCCGAAAAUACUGCACAGCUAGGGAGUGGGAGAGGUAGACGGUACUCAAUAGGAAGGGGUAAAAUCCUUUGAUCUAUUGAUGACCACCUGUGGCGAAGGCGGUCUACCAGAACACGUUCGACGGUGAGGGAUGAAAGCUGGGGGAGCAAACCGGAUUAGAUACCCGGGUAGUCCCAGCUGUAAACGAUGCAGACUCGAUGAUGUAUUAGCAUAUAGCUGAUACAGUGUCGCAGGGAAGCCGUUAAGUCUGCCGCCUGGGAAGUACGUACGCAAGUAUGAAACUUAAAGGAAUUGGCGGGGGAGCACCACAAGGGGUGAAGCCUGCGGUUCAAUUGGAUUCAACGCCGGGA